CGCCAAGCUAUUUUAAGCAAUGA
Molecule: microRNA, 23 nt
Filed under: Bombyx mori (domestic silkworm)
Lineage: Eukaryota; Metazoa; Arthropoda; Insecta; Lepidoptera; Bombycidae
Description: bmo-miR-3372-3p
Source: miRBase by way of RNAcentral